UACAGAGGCCUCGAGCGUUAGGCGGAAUCACUGGGCUUAAAGCGUGUGUAGGUGGAUGCCUAAGUGCCUUGUGAAAUCCCACAGCUUAACUGUGGAAUUGCUGGGCAUACUGGGUGUCUUGAGCCACUCAGGGGCUACCGGAACAAAUGGUGGAGCGGUGAAAUGCGUAGAUAUCGGGAGGAACACCUAUUGCGAAGGCAGCUCGCUGGGACGUUACUGACGCUGAGACGCGAAAGCGUGGGGAGCAAACAGG
RNAcentral lists this ribosomal RNA (253 nucleotides) under uncultured bacterium. RNAcentral describes it as "partial 16S ribosomal RNA". It matches the Rfam family "Bacterial small subunit ribosomal RNA", at positions 524 to 776 of the family's 1533-position model. The record is from RNAcentral.